This 72-nucleotide transfer RNA is filed under the name Candidatus Yanofskyibacteriota bacterium. RNAcentral describes it as "tRNA-Thr". It matches the Rfam family "tRNA". From Rfam's summary of the family: Transfer RNA (tRNA) molecules are approximately 80 nucleotides in length. Their secondary structure includes four short double-helical elements and three loops (D, anti-codon, and T loops). Further hydrogen bonds mediate the characteristic L-shaped molecular structure. tRNAs have two regions of fundamental functional importance: the anti-codon, which is responsible for specific mRNA codon recognition, and the 3' end, to which the tRNAs corresponding amino acid is attached (by aminoacyl-tRNA synthetases). tRNAs cope with the degeneracy of the genetic code in two manners: having more than one tRNA (with a specific anti-codon) for a particular amino acid; and 'wobble' base-pairing, i.e. permitting non-standard base-pairing at the 3rd anti-codon position. The record is from RNAcentral. Lineage: Bacteria; Candidatus Yanofskyibacteriota.
GCCGGAGUAGCUCAGGGGCAGAGCAAUACUUUCGUAAAGUAUGGGUCGCGAGUUCGAAUCUCGCCUCCGGCU